Molecule: ribosomal RNA, 251 nt
Filed under: uncultured bacterium
Lineage: Bacteria
Description: partial 16S ribosomal RNA
Rfam family: Bacterial small subunit ribosomal RNA
Source: RNAcentral
ACGUAGGUCACAAGCGUUGUCCGGAAUUACUGGGUGUAAAGGGAGCGCAGGCGGGAAGAUAAGUUGGAAGUGAAAUCUAUGGGCUCAACCCAUAAACUGCUUUCAAAACUGUUUUUCUUGAGUAGUGCAGAGGUAGGCGGAAUUCCCGGUGUAGCGGUGGAAUGCGUAGAUAUCGGGAGGAACACCAGUGGCGAAGGCGGCCUACUGGGCACCAACUGACGCUGAGGCUCGAAAGUGUGGGUAGCAAACAG